This 846-nucleotide ribosomal RNA is filed under the name Escherichia coli. RNAcentral's name for it is "partial 23S ribosomal RNA". It matches the Rfam family "Bacterial large subunit ribosomal RNA", at positions 1 to 888 of the family's 2925-position model. The record is from RNAcentral. Lineage: Bacteria; Pseudomonadati; Pseudomonadota; Gammaproteobacteria; Enterobacterales; Enterobacteriaceae.
GGUUAAGCGACUAAGCGUACACGGUGGAUGCCCUGGCAGUCAGAGGCGAUGAAGGACGUGCUAAUCUGCGAUAAGCGUCGGUAAGGUGAUAUGAACCGUUAUAACCGGCGAUUUCCGAAUGGGGAAACCCAAGUGUGAUUCGUCACACUAUCAUUAACUGAAUCCAUAGGUUAAUGAGGCGAACCGGGGGAACUGAAACAUCUAAGUACCCCGAGGAAAAGAAAUCAACCGAGAUUCCCCCAGUAGCGGCGAGCGAACGGGGAGCAGCCCAGAGUCUGAAUCAGUGUGUGUGUUAGUGGAAGCGUCUGGAAAGGCGCGCGAUACAGGGUGACAGCCCCGUACACAAAAAUGCACAUGCUGUGAGCUCGAUGAGUAGGGCGGGACACGUGGUAUCCUGUCUGAAUAUGGGGGGACCAUCCUCCAAGGCUAAAUACUCCUGACUGACCGAUAGUGAACCAGUACCGUGAGGGAAAGGCGAAAAGAACCCCGGCGAGGGGAGUGAAAAAGAACCUGAAACCGUGUACGUACAAGCAGUGGGAGCACGCUUAGGCGUGUGACCGCGUACCUUUUGUAUAAUGGGUCAGCGACUUAUAUUCUGUAGCAAGGUUAACCGAAUAGGGGAGCCGAAGGGAAACCGAGUCUUAACUGGGCGUUAAGUUGCAGGGUAUAGACCCGAAACCCGGUGAUCUAGCCAUGGGCAGGUUGAAGGUUGGGUAACACUAACUGGAGGACCGAACCGACUAAUGUUGAAAAAUUAGCGGAUGACUUGUGGCUGGGGGUGAAAGGCCAAUCAAACCGGGAGAUAGCUGGUUCUCCCCGAAAGCUAUUUAGGUAGCGCCUCGUGAA